GCACAGGUGAGAAUAACCCCAAUAAACCCCUCAGCUCCUACAUGGAGCACAGGUGAGACUAAUCCCCUCAGCUCCUACAUGGAGCACAGGUGAGAAUAACCCCAAUAAACCCCUCAGCUCCUACAUGGAGCACAGGUGAGACUAAUCCCCUCAGCUCCUACAUGGAGCACAGGUGAGACUAACCCCCUCAGCUCCUACAUGGAGCACAGGUGAGACUAAUCCACUCAGGUGAGACUAACCCCCUCAGCUCCUACAUGGAGCACAGGUGAGACUAAUCCCCUCAGCUCCUACAUGGAGCACAGGUGAGAAUAACCCCAAUAAACCCCUCAGCUCAUACAUGGA
Molecule: long non-coding RNA, 342 nt
Organism: Anguilla anguilla (European eel)
Lineage: Eukaryota; Metazoa; Chordata; Actinopteri; Anguilliformes; Anguillidae
Exons: 3
Source: RefSeq, a predicted model, not a curated record